This 172-nucleotide ribosomal RNA is filed under the name Chelon labrosus (thicklip grey mullet). RNAcentral describes it as "partial 12S rRNA". Lineage: Eukaryota; Metazoa; Chordata; Actinopteri; Mugiliformes; Mugilidae. The record is from RNAcentral.
CACCGCGGUUAUACGAGAGGCCCAAGCUGACAGCCCCCGGCGUAAAGAGUGGUUAAGUUAACCCUAAUGUGACUAAAGUCGAACGCCCCCAAGACCGUUAUACGUGCUCGGAGGUAUGAAGCCCAACUACGAAAGUGGCUUUAAAAUACCUGACCCCACGAAAGCUGUGAAA